UCCCUUUGAAAGCUCUGCAGGGCCCCUGUCAGCCAGCUGUGUGGGAAGAAAGCCAGGCCCCUGCACAGGGACUCCACACGCCGCUGGGCCUUUCCGGUGUCCCUAGCCAGGGAUGUUUAUUGAAGACACUGUGAAAUCCUCAGAGGCUGGGACUGUGUUCAGAAAACCAACCCAUCACCUAUCAUUUGUGCCACAACAUAUUCUAUUUGUCUAAUUUCUGAGUGGAUGGAGAGAAGAUCUCUUCCUGAAAUUUGAUGAGUAAAUUAAAUUAUAUAGAGUGAAUGAUGUUUACAGAGCAGUGGGAUUUUAAAGAAUGCCAGCAAAGAAUCUGGGUCAAAGAGUAAUCUGUGAUGAGAAUAACUGCUCUGUUUUUCUAUACCACCUGGACUUUCAUGUUGACAAACUGGGAAUUUCACACGUUGAGUUUCCUUACCAUGGUGCUCACCUAGGUAGAUAUCCAUGCAGAUAAACUUCAAGGACUAAGUAACAAGAAGAGAACAGAGAUAAUGGCUGUGAGGAACCUGUUCUUGUGGUGAAAGUAUUACCUGAUAGCAAACGUGAAACUGAACAUUUUGCGGGAAGUCUCAAGUCAAAGCUACUGUAAUCAAAGAAGAGCUGAUGCCAGCAAUUCAUAAAUCAAGUAUGGAGCCAAACUUAGGCAAAACCAGUGGCUGCAUUACAGCAGGUCUGGAGGGAUCCUGCCAGGGUGAGAUGGAUGCCCAUGAGUCAACGAGAAGCCAAGUAAAUGGAGGUUGGGGCAGGUCCCCAUACCCCAACCUCCAGAAACACCAUCGUGCAAAUUACAGGACAAACAUACUCUUCUGCAGAUACCUGCCCGUAAAUGUCAGAACCACAUUUGUGUCUGCUAAGGUUUUUCUUAACUUUUCUAUUGAUGCAUUAUAAUUUAACAAAAUAGUGGGAAUUACAUAUAGUUGUAUAACAGUUGUUACAUAUUUGCACAUGCACACAACAGAACAAUAUAAUUUGGUUGUGUCUGCUACAGUCUGAAUGUCCCCACCAAAUAUUGAAAUGUAUUCCCCCUUAUGAAAUAUUAAGAGGUAGGGCCAGUUGAGCCUUCAGGAGGU
Non-coding RNA from Ictidomys tridecemlineatus (thirteen-lined ground squirrel), 1085 nucleotides. NCBI's taxonomy places the organism in Eukaryota, Metazoa, Chordata, Mammalia, Rodentia, Sciuridae. The record is from RefSeq and is a predicted model, not a curated record.